CAUCUCUUGACCGGGGUGUUCUCACCAUGCCCUUUCUACAAACAAAAAAAUGAAGAUGUGGAGACCUGGAGACAGGUGGCACCUCGUGCUUCCUCCGAAGGGAGAGCCCAUUUCCUAACAGCUGGAUCAAAGGCAUGAAAUGAACAUGGAGUCCCUGAAGAUGAAGAGAAGGCAUGGCUUCCAGGGAGAAAUUGUACAUUACAGGAAUGCAGAUGUGAUUCCUAUGGAUGAGGGUAACCUAGAGGCUAGAAGAACAAUAGGACAGAAGAAGCCUGGGUCCCUGAACAACCUUGUGGAGCAUAGACACCUACGUGGCCUGGACUGCCAGCUCACAAUGGGCCUCUCUGUGAGAGAAGGAAACUUCCCUCUUGUUUAAGCAACUGUGCUUUUGAGAAUCUCUUGGUCUAUACCCUAAUGAAUAAGGCCAUCAUAAAUGGAUAUCAAAGUAAGGAAAUUUGUGUAAAUGAUUUAAUAAAACAUUACCUCAGGUAUGAAAUAA
This 499-nucleotide long non-coding RNA is filed under the name Homo sapiens (human). Its description in RNAcentral is "long independently transcribed non-coding RNA 2269 (LINC02269)". The record is from RNAcentral. Lineage: Eukaryota; Metazoa; Chordata; Mammalia; Primates; Hominidae.